Sebastes umbrosus (honeycomb rockfish) is the source of this 235-nucleotide long non-coding RNA. RefSeq lists it as uncharacterized. The record is from RefSeq and is a predicted model, not a curated record. NCBI's taxonomy places the organism in Eukaryota, Metazoa, Chordata, Actinopteri, Perciformes, Sebastidae. The transcript is spliced from 4 exons.
GCUGUCAAUCAUGACGUCUCAGCCCCCUUUUUAUAGCAUCAAAUAACUAAUUAAAACCAAACUUGUCAGAAAGAAAUGAUCACUUGAACAUACGUCAGCGUGAUAAGAACUACCUAAAAUGACAGCAACCAUCUUUGGGAAAAAUGUAUUUGACAUGUACUUUGACUUUUUAGUUUGGCCCAUGUCCCAUCUGCCAACAUGGAGGAGGCGGGCUUUAUGAGCUAUACUGCAGCCA